AGAAAAACCAUAAACAGGGGAAGCUAAUAGGUUGUAUUCAUUCUUCUUGAAGACAGCUCCCAGGUCAGCCCUACUCCUUUCACCUCUACAAACUCUUCACCAACCAGCAUCUCUCUCAUCUCACCUUGAGGAAAUGGCCCAAUGAGGAAUGCAAUAGCAAGAGGCAAGCUAAGUACAUUUCAAUUCUUUCUGAGAGGAAGAAAUCUUUCUCAACAAGUCUGAUGGAGCAAUAAAUACUGGACAUCUGUGUGUUGUGCCAUGGGCAGAUCAGAUACAGAAAACUUCCAGCUUAUGAAUGAGAUCCAUGAUGCAGAGAGACAGUUAUCACAAGCAGCAUCACAUGGGAUUGCCAGGUCAGAACCACUGUAGACCAAAGCCAAAUCCCACUGGGCCUAGGCAAGUUGAGGCCACCAAGCAGGUCCAGGGACUGCGGUACUGAGGUACUGAGCCAUGCCCAUCUUUUUCUGGCUCUGAAGACAUCAGUGCUUGCCACGAGCCUCCUCAAUAAAGACACAGACACAGGAUGAAGCAAUCGUCGAGGGUGUGGCCUCAAAGAUAGAAACAAGAUGGCAGAUAAAGCGCUUCUGAAACACGCAGCAGAGCCUCCAAAGCUCUGGGUGGUGGAAAGAUUUUCAUCAUGGAGGUGCACUUGCCUAAAGCACUCUGCAACUGGAAAGCAGGUCACCACAGCACCCACUGAGUCCUGAAAAGAAUAACUUCAGUUUUCAAAGAAUUGAAAUAGAUAGGGGUGAGGCAAGAGGAAGAAAUGAGUCACAAAUCUGGAGGUGAAAUGAGAGCUCUGAGUUAAUGACCACAGAUAAGGAAAGCAGAGAGAGGAGCAAUGUUCUUAUUAGGUUCAUUUCUCACUUUCAUAAAGGGCAGCCAUCUACUUCAAUUUAAAGAAGUAUCACAUGAUCUCACUCAUAUGUGGAAUCUAAUGAACAAAAUAAACUGUUGAACAAAAUAGAUCCAGAGACACAGAAGCAUGAAACAGACUGUGGAAUCUCAGUGGGAAGGC
Long non-coding RNA from Myotis lucifugus (little brown bat), 1018 nucleotides. RefSeq lists it as uncharacterized. The record is from RefSeq and is a predicted model, not a curated record. NCBI's taxonomy places the organism in Eukaryota, Metazoa, Chordata, Mammalia, Chiroptera, Vespertilionidae. The transcript has 4 exons.